GAAAUAGAUAUCCUGCAGUUCAUUUUGACACAGUUUCUACGCAGUUUUGCAUUACAGCCAUCCGAUCAAAAACCUGUGGUAGAGAUUGUUUCAUGUGAUUUUUCAACUGUGUUGAGCUGAACCGUCUGAUCUAUGAUCAACGGUCCAAAUUUAAAACUGUGUGAAAACUUUGUGAAAAUCUACUGCAGGAAAUCUGCAUCCA
This 202-nucleotide long non-coding RNA is filed under the name Trifolium pratense (red clover). RNAcentral describes it as "long non-coding RNA (TPRA_LNC008312)". Lineage: Eukaryota; Viridiplantae; Streptophyta; Magnoliopsida; Fabales; Fabaceae. The record is from RNAcentral.